Long non-coding RNA from Micropterus dolomieu (smallmouth bass), 416 nucleotides. RefSeq lists it as uncharacterized. The transcript is spliced from 3 exons. Lineage: Eukaryota; Metazoa; Chordata; Actinopteri; Centrarchiformes; Centrarchidae. The record is from RefSeq and is a predicted model, not a curated record.
UUGGACCACACUUUCUUGUCUAAGGAAUGGCAGAGCAGAUUAAUGGUGCAUUCCUACAGUUCCUGGUGGCCUUCAUGCUCUUGGCUCAGUGCCCCUCUCUGCAGCUUGUUACUUGUUGCCUCUGCACACUGAAGGAUAAGCAUCUCUCUCCUUCUUGGCACCCUGCCAUGGCUGGGCUUUAUCCACAGGUGUCUUGUGACAGAAGCUGGCACCACGGGAAUAUUUUUCAUGAAGAUGCCACAAUCCAUGCACCCUCCAGGAGCAAUGCCAGGGGCUGUUUUCCAUAAUCAGGUAUGAGGAAGAAUACAAUAUGGUGAUGCUGCCCAAACUUCUACAGCCACCCUUGACAACUGCAAAAGAUGUGCAAGAACUUAGUAGAGCCCUUGACCCAGCUGAAGAAGAUAACAUGUGAGUAG